UACGUAGGGUGCGAGCGUUGUCCGGAAUUAUUGGGCGUAAAGAGCUUGUAGGCGGUUUGUCGCGUCUGCCGUGAAAGUCCGGGGCUCAACUCCGGAUCUGCGGUGGGUACGGGCAGAAUAGAGUGAUGUAGGGGAGACUGGAAUUCCUGGUGUAGCGGUGAAAUGCGCAGAUAUCAGGAGGAACACCGAUGGCGAAGGCAGGUCUCUGGGCAUUAACUGACGCUGAGGAGCGAAAGCAUGGGGAGCGAACAGG
RNAcentral lists this ribosomal RNA (253 nucleotides) under uncultured bacterium. RNAcentral's name for it is "partial 16S ribosomal RNA". It matches the Rfam family "Bacterial small subunit ribosomal RNA", at positions 524 to 776 of the family's 1533-position model. The record is from RNAcentral.